UUAAUGGGUAGGGGCAUUUUAUGAUGAGAAGAAUAAUACGAAGAAGGAUUGAGAAUUUGCAAUGGCUGCAGAGCAAUGGUGUUGUAGAAGUUGUGGUGUUUGAAGCAGUCGUCGUCGUAUUGAGCAGUUAUAUUAUUAUCGGAAAAAUCCGUGGGCCCAGGCGUUGAGAGGGGCAACCCCAUUGGACCAGCUCGUUUCCCCUGUCGUAGGUCCACACCCAAGCCUCUCCAACGCGGCGAGCCACUUAGUAAAAGGGACUCAUCACAAUUACCGUAGAUGUUGGAACACGUCGAUGGCAACGUCGCCCAGCACGCAACGCAUCAACGUUACCGGGAGAACAGGCAGAAUAGUCUAUCAAACUCGAAGCACAAAACUAGCCCAACGCCACCGGUACAGGAAAUCAGAAAAUUUGUAUGAUCUGCGGGCGGUAUCCCACCCGGAUUAAGUGAUUUACCACAAAUUCGAGAAGGAGGGGGAGUGGCUUACCUUAGGUGAAGAAAGGAUCCCUUCCCCACGCUCCGAUUUGGGUCAAGUCCUCCUUUGGCACUCUUUUCAUCAAGAAAAUACGAGAGGAAGAAAUUUGCACAAUUUAUUUACCAACUUUCUGAGUCGAGAAGUGCCAACGAUCAAGAAAAGUUAUACAUCAAGAAAGUUGGUGUCUGGUGUUGUAGUGAUCUUGUAUUAAACUUUAGUCCCAGAAUUGUAGUACUACUACGGGAAAAUAUAGUGAAGUGAUUCUCUUUGAUGGA
Folsomia candida is the source of this 749-nucleotide long non-coding RNA. RefSeq lists it as uncharacterized. NCBI's taxonomy places the organism in Eukaryota, Metazoa, Arthropoda, Collembola, Entomobryomorpha, Isotomidae. The record is from RefSeq and is a predicted model, not a curated record. The transcript has 3 exons.